RNAcentral lists this ribosomal RNA (449 nucleotides) under uncultured bacterium. RNAcentral's name for it is "partial 16S ribosomal RNA". It matches the Rfam family "Bacterial small subunit ribosomal RNA", at positions 29 to 523 of the family's 1533-position model. The record is from RNAcentral.
AACGAACGCUGGCGGCAGGCCUAACACAUGCAAGUCGAACGCCCUAGCAAUAGGGAGUGGCGCACGGGUGCGUAACACGUGGGAAUGUACCCCAGGGUAAGGAAUAAUGUCUGGAAACGGACACUAAUACCUUAUAAUGACUUUGGUCCAAAGAUUUAUCGCCCUGGGAUCAGCCCGCGUCUGAUUAGCUAGUUGGUGAGGUAAUGGCUCACCAAGGCAACGAUCAGUAGCUGGUCUGAGAGGAUGAUCAGCCACACUGGAACUGAGACACGGUCCAGACUCCUACGGGAGGCAGCAGUGAGGAAUAUUGCACAAUGGAGGAAACUCUGAUGCAGCCAUGCCGCGUGAGUGAAGAAGGCCUUCGGGUUGUAAAGCUCUUUUAGUCGUGAAGAUAAUGACGGUAGCGACAGAAGAAGCCCCGGCUAAAUUCGUGCCAGCAGCCGCAGUAA